GCGGGGGUUGCCGAGCCAGGAUAAAGGUGCGAGACUUAAGAUCUCGUUCCGAAGGGAGUCGGGGGUUCAAAUCCCCUCCCCCGCA
This 85-nucleotide transfer RNA is filed under the name Methanobacteriota archaeon. RNAcentral describes it as "Euryarchaeota archaeon (hot springs metagenome) tRNA-Leu". It matches the Rfam family "tRNA". Rfam says of the family: Transfer RNA (tRNA) molecules are approximately 80 nucleotides in length. Their secondary structure includes four short double-helical elements and three loops (D, anti-codon, and T loops). Lineage: Archaea; Methanobacteriati; Methanobacteriota. The record is from RNAcentral.